This 1309-nucleotide ribosomal RNA is filed under the name Enterococcus faecium. RNAcentral's name for it is "bacterial SSU rRNA". It matches the Rfam family "Bacterial small subunit ribosomal RNA", at positions 184 to 1477 of the family's 1533-position model. The record is from RNAcentral. Lineage: Bacteria; Bacillati; Bacillota; Bacilli; Lactobacillales; Enterococcaceae.
AACCGCAAUGGUUUUGAUUUGAAUGGGGCGUUUCGGGUGGCGCUGAUGGAUGAGACCCGGCGGUGCAUUAGCUAGGUGGUGAGGUAACGGGUCACCAAGGCCACGAUGCAUAGCCGACCUGAGAGGGUGAUCGGCCACAUUGGGACUGAGACACGGCCCAAACUCCUACGGGAGGCAGCAGUAGGGAAUCUUCGGCAAUGGACGAAAGUCUGACCGAGCAACGCCGCGUGAGUGAAGAAGGUUUUCGGAUCGUAAAACUCUGUUGUUAGAGAAGAACAAGGAUGAGAGUAACUGUUCAUCCCUUGACGGUAUCUAACCAGAAAGCCACGGCUAACUACGUGCCAGCAGCCGCGGUAAUACGUAGGUGGCAAGCGUUGUCCGGAUUUAUUGGGCGUAAAGCGAGCGCAGGCGGUUUCUUAAGUCUGAUGUGAAAGCCCCCGGCUCAACCGGGGAGGGUCAUUGGAAACUGGGAGACUUGAGUGCAGAAGAGGAGAGUGGAAUUCCAUGUGUAGCGGUGAAAUGCGUAGAUAUAUGGAGGAACACCAGUGGCGAAGCGGCUCUCUGGUCUGUAACUGACGCUGAGCUCGAAAGCGUGGGGAGCAAACAGGAUUAGAUACCCUGGUAGUCCACGCCGUAAACGAUGAGUGCUAAGUGUUGGAGGGUUUCCGCCCUUCAGUGCUGCAGCUAACGCAUUAAGCACUCCGCCUGGGGAGUACGACCGCAAGGUUGAAACUCAAAGGAAUUGACGGGGGCCCGCACAAGCGGUGGAGCAUGUGGUUUAAUUCGAAGCAACGCGAAGAACCUUACCAGGUCUUGACAUCCUUUGACCACUCUAGAGAUAGAGCUUCCCCUUCGGGGGCAAAGUGACAGGUGGUGCAUGGUUGUCGUCAGCUCGUGUCGUGAGAUGUUGGGUUAAGUCCCGCAACGAGCGCAACCCUUAUUGUUAGUUGCCAUCAUUCAGUUGGGCACUCUAGCAAGACUGCCGGUGACAAACCGGAGGAAGGUGGGGAUGACGUCAAAUCAUCAUGCCCCUUAUGACCUGGGCUACACACGUGCUACAAUGGGAAGUACAACGAGUUGCGAAGUCGCGAGGCUAAGCUAAUCUCUUAAAGCUUCUCUCAGUUCGGAUUGCAGGCUGCAACUCGCCUGCAUGAAGCCGGAAUCGCUAGUAAUCGCGGAUCAGCACGCCGCGGUGAAUACGUUCCCGGGCCUUGUACACACCGCCCGUCACACCACGAGAGUUUGUAACACCCGAAGUCGGUGAGGUAACCUUUUUGGAGCCAGCCGCCUAAGGUGGGAUAGAUGAUUG